Molecule: ribosomal RNA, 496 nt
Filed under: uncultured bacterium
Lineage: Bacteria
Description: partial 16S ribosomal RNA
Rfam family: Bacterial small subunit ribosomal RNA
Source: RNAcentral
AUGCACGCUGGCGGCGUGCCUAAUCCAUGCAAGUCGCGCGAACAGACGAGGAGCUUGCUCCUCUGACGUUAGCGGCGGACGGGUGAGUAACACGUGGAUAACCUACCUAUAAGACUGGGAUAACUUCGGGAAACCGGAGCUAAUACCGGAUAAUAUAUUGAACCGCAUGGUUCAAUAGUGAAAGACGGUUUUGCUGUCACUUAUAGAUGGAUCCGCGCCGCAUUAGCUAGUUGGUAAGGUAACGGCUUACCAAGGCAACGAUGCGUAGCCGACCUGAGAGGGUGAUCGGCCACACUGGAACUGAGACACGGUCCAGACUCCUACGGGAGGCAGCAGUAGGGAAUCUUCCGCAAUGGGCGAAAGCCUGACGGAGCAACGCCGCGUGAGUGAUGAAGGUCUUCGGAUCGUAAAACUCUGUUAUUAGGGAAGAACAAAUGUGUAAGUAGCUAUGCACGUCUUGACGGUACCUAAUCAGAAAGCCACGGCUAACUACGUG